AGUGAACGCUGGCGGUAGGCCUAACACAUGCAGGUCGAACGGCAGCACAGGAGAGCUUGCUCUCUAGGUGGCGAGUGGCGUACGGGUGAGGAAUACAUCGGAAUCUGCCCAGUCGUGGGGGAUAACGUAGGGAAACUUACGCUAAUACCGCAUACGACCUUCGGGUGAAAGAGGGGGAUCGCAAGACCUCUCGCGAUUGGAUGAGCCGAUGUCGGAUUAGCUAGUUAGCGGGGUAAUGGCCCACCAAGGCGACGAUCCGUAGCUGGUCUGAGAGGAUGAUCAGCCACACUGGAACUGAGACACGGUCCAGACUCCUACGGGAGGCAGCAGUGGGGAAUAUUGGACAAUGGGCGCAAGCCUGAUCCAGCCAUACCGCGUGGGUGAAGAAGGCCUUCGGGUUGUAAAGCCCUUUUGUUGGGAAAGAAAUCUUUCAGGCUAAUACCCUGGGAGGAUGACGGUACCCAAAGAAUAAGCACCGGCUAACUUCGUG
Molecule: ribosomal RNA, 490 nt
Filed under: uncultured bacterium
Lineage: Bacteria
Description: partial 16S ribosomal RNA
Rfam family: Bacterial small subunit ribosomal RNA
Source: RNAcentral